Molecule: non-coding RNA, 221 nt
Organism: Cinara cedri
Lineage: Eukaryota; Metazoa; Arthropoda; Insecta; Hemiptera; Aphididae
Source: the annotation of a GenBank genome assembly
CGAAAACUCGAUAACAUGUAAUAAUACAAAUAACAACGGCUGUAGAAAUCGUCCGGUGUGUUUAAUACAUAAAAAUAAGAUAACAUGCCAUUUACAUAAUCAAUGAAAUAUGCAUACCUGGUAGAAAAAGGCGAUUAUAACUUUUUGUUUUUGUAUUGGGUAUCAGCAAUUCAUUUUAUUUUUACCUGUAAAAAUAUUAUUUCAUAAUCAUUAAUUAGACU